This 237-nucleotide ribosomal RNA is filed under the name uncultured bacterium. RNAcentral describes it as "partial 16S ribosomal RNA". It matches the Rfam family "Bacterial small subunit ribosomal RNA", at positions 96 to 334 of the family's 1533-position model. The record is from RNAcentral.
UGGCGCACGGGUGCGUAACGCGUAACCAACCUACCCACAUCUGGGGGAUAGCCCGCCGAAAGGCGGAUUAAUACCGCAUAAGCUACUUGGCCGGCAUCGGUUGGAUAGCAAAGAUUUAUUGGAUGUGGAUGGGGUUGCGUGCCAUUAGCUAGUUGGGGGGUAACGGCCCACCAAGGCGACGAUGGCUAGGGGAGCUGAGAGGCUGGUCCCCCACACGGGCACUGAGAUACGGGCCCG